GGAUUUUUUGUCUUCUUAUGCUAUAUACCAGCUGUUCGGCAAAAGAUUUUCUCUCUCUUUUCUGCUCUGGUAUUUGGUUGGUAUCCAGAUCCAGCCAACUCUACAUGGGCAAAAGAAUUCACAUCUACAAAGGAUGAAUCAAGGUCCAAUUCUACAGAGUUUUUAAGCCAGCCAGUCAGAUCUGAAGACCCUGAAACUCUACAAAUAAAGGAAGUCUUAAUUGAAAGACAUGACUUUGCUUUUAUGGAUGGGCACAUAUACAAAAAUACCAAGACAGAAGCACUAUCUAUGAGAACUAACAACUGCAAUUCUUUGACUACCGAUAUAACAGAUAGUACUGGGAACUAUCAGUUGCCAUCUUUGUACAAAAAACUUCUACCUGAAGAUCCAAGUGAAAGCCAAAUAUUUUCUGAGUGCUUAGUUAAUCCACUCGAGAAUGCCACAGUAGAUUACCUGCCAACCACCACACCUGCCAUUAUGACUUCCGAGGAAGACAGCUUUGGAUCUGAACUCAGUUCAUUGCCUAUUUUCCCUAUAACUUCUUUUCGAAGAAAUUCAGGUUUUUUGGGUGGAAAACUUACUCUGGAUGCUAUAAAAAUGGACUGUAGUUCUUUCACAGAGAACCCUUUUUUAAGAACAGAGAUAUAGGGAAGGUUGCUCUUAAGCAUUAAAACUACCUGUACUGUGAGGC
Pseudonaja textilis is the source of this 691-nucleotide non-coding RNA. The record is from RefSeq and is a predicted model, not a curated record. Lineage: Eukaryota; Metazoa; Chordata; Lepidosauria; Squamata; Elapidae.